Molecule: ribosomal RNA, 252 nt
Filed under: uncultured prokaryote
Description: partial 16S rRNA
Rfam family: Archaeal small subunit ribosomal RNA
Source: RNAcentral
ACCGGCAGCUCAAGUGGUGGCCAUUUUUAUUGGGCCUAAAGCGUUCGUAGCCGGUUUGAUAAGUCUCUGGUGAAAUCCCGCAGCUUAACUGUGGGACUUGCUGGAGAUACUAUUAGACUGGAGGUAGGGAGAGGUGAGGGGUACUCCCAGGGGGGGGGUGAAAUCCGAGAAGAGUGGGAGGAAAAAAGGUGGCGAAGGAGAAUAAAUGGAACGAUACUGACGGUGAGUAGAGAAAGAGUGGGUAGCAAACAG